GCACUGAACUGGGAGAUCAGGAAGGGUUAGUUCUGGUUCUGGUUCUGCUGUUGCCAAGCAGAGGGAGUCGUGGGGCUCCCACUUCCUUCCUGGUAAACAAUAUCAGGGUGGGACCAGGUCCCAGCUGCUCGUCUGCAGAGCCAGUACUUCAUGAUUCCACAGACCGGUCACAUACCCUGAGGUCCCAUUCCAGACCACUGUUCUGAACUCCGCAGCUACCUCAUCGCCCUGCUUUCACACAAUGGAAGUAUGAACAUCACUGAAUUCCAGGAUCAGAUCAAAACCAGAAGUUGUGCUGCAUUAAGGAAGACACUGGCCCAAGGCCUACAAGGAAAAAUAGGAUUAUGGCUCAAGUCGUCUGAAAGCCUUCCCAGGAAACUGUGUCCCAAAGAGAAGACUCCAUAGGAAGAACAUCAGAGAAGGAAGUUACUUGUCUGUCUUUGGUAACAUUCAUCCAAAACAGGUUUUGUUCUCUCUCAGUGGACAAGACUCCUCAACUAAUAGAGCAAAUUCAUUUACAAGGGAGUAAUAAAUGAAAAAUAAACAUGUUAUUUAGUUU
This is a long non-coding RNA of Hippopotamus amphibius kiboko, 559 nucleotides long. RefSeq lists it as uncharacterized. NCBI's taxonomy places the organism in Eukaryota, Metazoa, Chordata, Mammalia, Artiodactyla, Hippopotamidae. The record is from RefSeq and is a predicted model, not a curated record. The transcript is spliced from 3 exons.